Molecule: ribosomal RNA, 122 nt
Filed under: Laguncularia racemosa
Lineage: Eukaryota; Viridiplantae; Streptophyta; Magnoliopsida; Myrtales; Combretaceae
Description: partial 5.8S ribosomal RNA
Rfam family: 5.8S ribosomal RNA
About the family: 5.8S ribosomal RNA (5.8S rRNA) is a component of the large subunit of the eukaryotic ribosome. It is transcribed by RNA polymerase I as part of the 45S precursor that also contains 18S and 28S rRNA. Functionally, it is thought that 5.8S rRNA may be involved in ribosome translocation.
Source: RNAcentral
UGCAUUGAUGAAGAACGCAGCGAAAUGCGAUACUUGGUGUGAAUUGCAGAAUCCCGUGAACCAUCGAGUCUUUGAACGCAAGUUGCGCCCGAAGCCUUGGCCGAGGGCACGCCUGCCUGGGU